CCACGACGACAUGUUAUUAGGAUUGUGAGUGACAACGAUGCUUCUCCAUUUGAGCGUCCUGUCAUGGAAUCCGUGCUCGAUUUGCCCACUGUAGAAGCUACUGAUUGCGUGGACAAUGUUGUCAAUGAGAAUUAUUGCGUGGAAAGCAUGACCCAUUUAUCUAAUGCAGAAGCUGCGAAUUGUGUCGAAAACAGUGCAGUUGCUUCUUCAGUAAUUGAUUGUGGUAUGCAGUCGAAAGUAGGAAUGGGAGGCAAGGCGACCGAAAUUUGCAAUUUUUUCUCAGACAUUGUGCACGAAUUAAAACGUAAACUGAAGUGCGUCCGUGAAAAACUUCGAAGAAGAGAGAAGAAAGUGUUUUCCAUGGAUGACAUCAUAAGUUCAUUGAAGGAGGAGGGGCAUCUUCCUGAAAAGUUACAUAACUUCCUCAAUCAUCAGAAAGGAACACAAGUGUAAUUAGUGUGCAAUUCAGUGAACAACUCUCUCUCAUCAAAGGGUAAUAGAUACACAACAAAUGUGAAAAUGUUUGCGAUGACUGUGUACUUUUAUUCACCAGCAGCAUAUGCAUACCUGCAAAAAUUAAUGCCUCUGCCCCAUAAAUCAUUGAUUUCCA
Molecule: long non-coding RNA, 610 nt
Organism: Schistocerca piceifrons (Central American locust)
Lineage: Eukaryota; Metazoa; Arthropoda; Insecta; Orthoptera; Acrididae
Exons: 3
Source: RefSeq, a predicted model, not a curated record